AAACAUCGACCCUCCUCCAGGUGUUUUGGACUUCAACUCCCACCCUUCCUGACAGCCUCAGAUUGCAUUGGACAUUAUUAGGAAGAACUUUCUGACUGUGAGAACUGUUCAGCAGUGGAACUCCCUGCCUCAGAAUCAGUCUCUGAAGUUUUGAAGGGCUAUCUGUCAGGGAUAUUUUGAUUGUGCUUUCCUUGCAUUUCUUUUCCUGUAUCAGGAGUGUUUUGAGAAACCACAAGUGUGAGAGAAUUGGCUGUCUGCAAGGACGUUGCCCAGAUGUUUUGACCGUCCUUGUGGGAGGCUUCUCUCAUGUCCCCACAUGGAGCUGGAGCUGGAGCUGAUAAAGGGAGCUCAUCUGUGGUCGCCCCUUUUGGAUUCGAGUCAGCAACCUUCAGUGUGGUAAGAUAGCGCUGUUCCUCUGUCGAACCUCCAUAGAUAAGAAAAUAAACCCUGAAAAGCAAGAUACGCAGAUGUUAUCCAAACUCCAGAAGAUAAGAUGUACUGACACAAGAAGGGUCAAGUUCCUAAACCAAUUAUCUGAAACUGCAGCAAAGAUGGCCACAAAUUCACUUUUUAUGAGCAUCACAGUGGAAUUCCUUACCUUGG
Anolis carolinensis (green anole) is the source of this 603-nucleotide long non-coding RNA. RefSeq lists it as uncharacterized. Lineage: Eukaryota; Metazoa; Chordata; Lepidosauria; Squamata; Anolidae. The transcript is spliced from 3 exons. The record is from RefSeq and is a predicted model, not a curated record.